This 3412-nucleotide long non-coding RNA is filed under the name Salvia miltiorrhiza (redroot sage). RNAcentral's name for it is "long non-coding RNA (SMIL_LNC008391)". Lineage: Eukaryota; Viridiplantae; Streptophyta; Magnoliopsida; Lamiales; Lamiaceae. The record is from RNAcentral.
AUAGCUGCUAUAAUUUGGCUGACUGUUAAUACAAGCUCAACAGAUAUCCAUAAACCAGAAUUUAAUGGACUUCUUUGUCGGCUGCGAGCAUUUCCUCUACGACUUAGUGAUGAACUCCUUGAGUUUGACCCACCGGCAGUAAAAGGUUGAGGCUGAUAAAGGGGAACCCUUGAACUAGUAGAUGGCAGGUCUUCACUCCUUUGCUGCUCCAAACCAGUUGAUGGCCUUUCAUGGGAUGAAUUAGAUGAAGAAGCAGUACCACUGCCUGUUAUGUCAAUAACGUGUUCGGUAUCGCUGCGACUGUCAGCUCCUUCCAUUAACAAAUCGGCUUCGUUAGUUGAACUCUUAUGAUGAUGUCCCAGUAUGGGAAAAGCCAUUCAAGUCUGCCAACCCUAGACGACACUCCGAAAACAUGGGACAACAGGCUAGUGAGCUCCCUUCCUAGGAUGCUGAAGAUUGAGCAGCAAUAAUCUCUCCGAGCUUAAGGGAGUUGAUUGACCUUAUCUGUUCACAGCACAUAAAGGCAUAAAUAAAGCAUAAACAUUAGAAGCUAACUCAUUCCAUUUAUACACUCAUACACAAUGCCGAUUCCCUUUCUCAUAACAAAAAUUACAGAACAAGGCACUCAGUACAUAUAUUCUUUCUUCGACGCGAGUUCACCGUUCCUGUCACAAUAUUACAUCUCCUCAAACCAAACAAAAUUAAGCCAAAUAAACACAGUAGAAAAGCUUUGGAGAAAGAUUGUAUCUCAAUAGCUCAAAGAACAACGCUUAUGAUCUUCAAUCGAUACCGAAUUCCGAAGCAGAAGUCUACCAACAGAAUUAGUCUACACAAUUCCAGUCACUAACACAAACAAUUCCACGAGCUGAAAAGAACACCAAAACCACCAAAUAAAGCUGAAUUACUUAAAUUUUCCACAACCCCAAGCCAAUUCUCAACCCCUAAAUUGCAACUUUUUUCCACAUUAAGAUCGUUGACCCUCCCCGUAAUUCAACGCCCACAGUCCAACACAUAGUAAACUCAAAAUCAAAAUCUGAAACCGUAUAGAAUUGGAAUAGUAAAACGAACUCAUUAAUCAAUUCACCAUUCACGAAUUAAACAUCUGCAAAAUCUAUGUACUAAGAGCUACCAGUAAUCAAAUUAAUGAACAAUUCAAUUACUCACCUGAAUGAAACAACUAAAACUAGGGUUUGACGAAAGCAGAGAAUCAGAAUAAAUUUUUCUGGAAGAUGGAAGCUCGUUUUUGUUGAUGGAUUUAUUCAAGCUACUUCUACAGUUGUGCUUUUAUUUAUUUAUAUAUUUGGCGACUUUUUUCUUUAUUUUUCUGGCUCAUCUUUUUUACUAUAAUGGUUUUUAGUUUUUAUGACGUCAUAUUUUCCUCGCAAUUCUUUUAUUUGUUUAUUUUUUUUUCUUUCCUUUUUUCUGCGCCGUUCGAUUUGGGACAGAGAUUGCUUGGCAUUAUUGGGAUUUUCAGUUUCAAAAAAAAAAAACAAUAUUUGGGAUAAUAAGAUGUUUAAUUACAUUUUUACCCCUGAUUAUGGGUUAGGUGAGUAAUUAAUUACCUUCUUGAUGAUACAAAUGCAUCACGCACUUACUCCACUAAAUCAUGAAAUAUAACAAUAAUCUUAUUCGAUAUUUCUUUGUCUUAAUAUUUUUUUCGUGACGUAUACUUAAACAAAUUAGUCUUUUUUUUACUAAGCAUGUGUGUUGAAUUAGAAUACUACUAUUAUUUAAAUAUUUGAUGGUGUCAUUUUUAAAUGGUCAAUCGUAUAAGUAAAUUUAAUUUAUCAUUAUAAGUAAAAUUAUAAUUUUAUUAUUUAUUGUGAGUGUGGGUUGUGGGCUCAAAUGCGUCUAUACUUAUGUACUCUUAUCAAUUUUUUAUGACAUUUUCUUUUUUCAUUAAUAUUUAUUUAAUAAAUGAAUAAACGAAUAUAACUCCAUUCGACGUACAUACUCCAAAUGAAAUAAUGAUUGCAACAUCUAUUAUUUUAGAAGUCCAAUAUCAAAUGAAUAAUUUUGAAAGGGUCAUUUAACAUAUAUAUUUAUGAAUUAUGAUAGGUGAUUUGAACGCUCAAUUACUAAUUAAAUUAGAUAUGUUUUAUCAAUUGAAUUAUGAUUUUUUUUUGACGGAAAUUGAAUUAUGAUUUAUUAACUCUUUUAUAUUACAAAUGAUAAGUUACAAGAGGAACAUAAACAUCCAAACACAAACUUAUCCAAUUCUUUGUUUUUAUUAGUUGGGAGUCCCAUAUUUGAAUAUUUGAAAGUAUUGAACCCUAAAUUGAUUAUUGAAUUUUGCCCUUUUAUUAUGUGUAGUUGAUAGAAUGUGGCAAUUAUUUGAUGGUCCAAUAUUUGGAUCAAAUUAUAAAAGUUGCAUGGUAUUUAAAAUGUGCAAAAAUCACGACAAUUCAAAAGUGAUGAUGGCUCACAACUCGAAAAUAUGAGAAACUAUUUGUCACAUUACAUUUUGUCAAAAGAUUGAUUCUUUUGUUUUGUCAUUUUUUUUAGUUUGAAAAUUCAUCCAAAUUGUAUUGUUACUUAUUUUUAAGUACCUUUGGGGCUUUGAAUGAGAAUACUAUUUUUAUUUUAAUUAUUGAUCUUACUCAAAGACUCGUGAUUAAUAAAUAACAAAUAUCGCAUUUAUUGUCGACGUGUAUGAUGACUCAAAAUCCAGCUUUAUAUAAGUUAAAAACUUAAAAUCUACAAGUCUUUGUUUGCAAAUUUAAUUGCUAAAAGCCAUUUUCUUCUUAUCACUUAAAUUAUCAAUUCCUUUGUUAUUUAUUUAUCGAGACAUCAUGUGUUAUUAUGUUACCAACUAACGUAUUUUUUCCUGUGUUCAUGCAUAGUNUCCAGCUAUCUUCUCUGCUUAUUGACCUCCUCGCGAAAGGAACAGCAGAGUUAUUGCUAAGGGAAGCAUCUUGUCCAUUUUGAGAUGAGUCCUGCUCAGGACUUUGAUUACGAUAUUUAAAACGCCAAUAUAGAAGGGGAAGUAUCGCCAAACAACCAGAUGCAUAUCCAACAACCCAUGCUCUCAAAGGAGCACGAGGCUUCUCACUUCUGGACAGGGACAAGACAACAAUAGCUGCUAUAAUUUGGCUGACUGUUAAUACUAGCUCAACAGAUAUCCAUAAACCAGAAUUUAAUGGACUUCUUUGUCGGCUGCGAGUAUUUCCUCUACGACUUAGUGAUGAACUCCUUGAGUUUGACCCACCGGCAGUAAAAGGUUGAGGCUGAUAAAGGGGAACCCUUGAACUAGUAGAUGGCAGGUCUUCACUCCUUUGCUGCUCCAAACCAGUUGAUGGCCUUUCAUGGGAUGAAUUAGAUGAAGAAGCAGUACCACUGCCUGUUAUGUCAAUAACGUGUUCGGUAUCGCUGCGACUGUCAGCUCCUUCCAUUAACAAAUCGGCUUCGUCAG